GCGGCGUGCCUAUACAUGCAAGUCGAACGAGUUCUCGUUGAUGAUCGGUGCUUGCACCGAGAUUCAACAUGGAACGAGUGGCGGACGGGUGAGUAACACGUGGGUAACCUGCCCUUAAGUGGGGGAUAACAUUUGGAAACAGAUGCUAAUACCGCAUAGAUCCAAGAACCGCAUGGUUCUUGGCUGAAAGAUGGCGUAAGCUAUCGCUUUUGGAUGGACCCGCGGCGUAUUAGCUAGUUGGUGAGGUAAUGGCUCACCAAGGCGAUGAUACGUAGCCGAACUGAGAGGUUGAUCGGCCACAUUGGGACUGAGACACGGCCCAAACUCCUACGGGAGGCAGCAGUAGGGAAUCUUCCACAAUGGACGCAAGUCUGAUGGAGCAACGCCGCGUGAGUGAAGAAGGCUUUCGGGUCGUAAAACUCUGUUGUUGGAGAAGAAUGGUCGGCAGAGUAACUGUUGCCGGCGUGACGGUAUCCAACCAGAAAGCCACGGCUAACUACGUGCCAGCAGCCGCGGUAAUACGUAGGUGGCAAGCGUUAUCCGGAUUUAUUGGGCGUAAAGCGAGCGCAGGCGGUUUUUUAAGUCUGAUGUGAAAGCCCUCGGCUUAACCGAGGAAGCGCAUCGGAAACUGGGAAACUUGAGUGCAGAGAGGACAGUGGAACUCCAUGUGUAGCGGUGAAAUGCGUAGAUAUAUGGAAGACACCAAUGGCGAGCGGCUGUCUGGUCUGUACUGACGCUGAGGCUCGAAAGCAUGGGUAGCG
RNAcentral lists this ribosomal RNA (761 nucleotides) under Lacticaseibacillus paracasei. RNAcentral describes it as "bacterial SSU rRNA". It matches the Rfam family "Bacterial small subunit ribosomal RNA", at positions 39 to 770 of the family's 1533-position model. Lineage: Bacteria; Bacillati; Bacillota; Bacilli; Lactobacillales; Lactobacillaceae. The record is from RNAcentral.